GCUCCAGGAUAUUUACGUCGGAACAGGUAAAGUAUGAAUCGGAAAGUAAGUAUAUUUUUUUUUUUAUUUAUUAAUAGUUGUCCUAUAGAUAUUAAAAUAAUUUGAAUAUGUAUUAUAGAUAGACGGCAGCCCAGAGAGAAGAAGAGAGUACAGUCCUAGACCUGGAGACGAUUAAAUUGAAGAUGCCUAGAUGCCUAGAUGAUGAUAUACCAGCUCCAGGAUAUUUACGUCGGAACAGGUAAAGUAUGAAUCGGAAAGUAAGUAUAUUUUUUUUUUAUUUAUUAAUAGUUGUCUAAUAGAUAUUAAAAUAAUUUGAAUAUGUAUUACAGAUAGAUGGGAGCCAACAGAGAAGAAGAAGACAGUACAGUCCUAGACAUGGAGAUGAUUAAAUUGUAGAUGCCAAGAUGAUGAUAUACCAGCCCCAGGAUAUUUACGUCAGGACAGGUAACAUAUGCAUCGGAAAGUAAGUAUAUUUUUUUUAUUUAUUAAUAGUUGUCUAAUAGAUAUUAAAAUAAUUUGAAUAUGUAUUACAGAUAGACGGGAGCCAACAGAGAAGAAGAAGACAGUACAGUCCUAGACAUGGAGAUGAUUAAAUUGUAGAUGCCAAGAUGAUGAUAUACCAGCCCCAGGAUAUUUACGUCAGGACAGGUAACAUAUGCAUCGGAAAGUAAGUAUAUUUUUUUUAUUUAUUAAUAGUUGUCUAAUAGAUAUUAAAAUAAUUUGAAUAUGUAUUACAGAUAGACGGGAGCCAACAGAGAAGAAGAAGACAGUACAGUCCUAGACAUGGAGAUGAUUAAAUUGUAGAUGCCAAGAUGAUGAUAUACCAGCCCCAGGAUAUUUACGUCAGGACAGGUAACAUAUGCAUCGGAAAGUAAGUAUAUUUUUUUUUAUUUAUUAAUAGUUGUCUAAUAGAUAUUAAAAUAAUUUGAAUAUGUAUUACAGAUAGACGGGAGCCAACAGAGAAGAAGAAGACAGUACAGUCCUAGACAUGGAGAUGAUUAAAUUGUAGAUGCCAAGAUGAUGAUAUACCAGCCCCAGGAUAUUUACGUCAGGACAGGUAACAUAUGCAUCGGAAAGUAAGUAUAUUUUUUUUUAUUUAUUAAUAGUUGUCUAAUAGAUAUUAAAAUAAUUUGAAUAUGUAUUACAGAUAGACGGGAGCCAACAGAGAAGAAGAAGACAGUACAGUCCUAGACAAGGAGAUGAUUAAAUUGUAGAUGCCAAGAUGAUGAUAUACCAGCCCCAGGAUAUUUACGUCAGGACAGGUAACAUAUGCAUCGGAAAGUAAGUAUAUUUUUUUUUAUUUAUUAAUAGUUGUCUAAUAGAUAUUAAAAUAAUUUGAAUAUGUAUUACAGAUAGACGGGAGCCAACAGAGAAGAAGAAGACAGUACAGUCCUAGACAUGGAGAUGAUUAAAUUGUAGAUGCCAAGAUGAUGAUAUACCAGCCCCAGGAUAUUUACGUCAGGACAGGUAACAUAUGCAUCGGAAAGUAAGUUUAUUUUUUUUUAUUUAUUAAUAGUUGUCUAAUAGAUAUUAAAAUAAUUUGAAUAUGUAUUACAGAUAGACGGGAGCCAACAGAGAAGAAGAAGACAGUACAGUCCUAGACAUGGAGAUGAUUAAAUUGUAGAUGCCAAGAUGAUGAUAUACCAGCCCCAGGAUAUUUACGUCAGGACAGGUAACAUAUGCAUCGGAAAGUAAGUAUAUUUUUUUUUAUUUAUUAAUAGUUGUCUAAUAGAUAUUAAAAUAAUUUGAAUAUGUAUUACAGAUAGACGGGAGCCAACAGAGAAGAAGAAGACAGUACAGUCCUAGACAUGGAGAUGAUUAAAUUGUAGAUGCCAAGAUGAUGAUAUACCAGCCCCAGGAUAUUUACGUCAGGACAGGUAACAUAUGCAUCAGAAAGUAAGUAUAUUUUUUUUAUUUAUUAAUAGUUGUCUAAUAGAUAUUAAAAUAAUUUGAAUAUGUAUUACAGAUAGACGGGAGCCAACAGAGAAGAAGAAGACAGUACAGUCCUAGACAUGGAGAUGAUUAAAUUGUAGAUGCCAAGAUGAUGAUAUACCAGCCCCAGGAUAUUUACGUCAGGACAGGUAACAUAUGCAUCGGAAAGUAAGUAUAUUUUUUUUUAUUUAUUAAUAGUUGUCUAAUAGAUAUUAAAAUAAUUUGAAUAUGUAUUACAGAUAGACGGGAGCCAACAGAGAAGAAGAAGACAGUACAGUCCUAGACAUGGAGAUGAUUAAAUUGUAGAUGCCAAGAUGAUGAUAUACCAGCCCCGGGAUAUUUACAUCGGAACAGGUAAAGUAUGAAUCGGAAAGUAAGUAUAUUUUUUUUUUUAUUUAUUAAUAGUUGUCCUAUAGAUAUUAAAAUAAUUUGAAUAUGUAUUACAGAUAGACGGCAGCCCAAAAGAAGAAGAGAGUACAGUUCUAGACCUGGAGACGAUUAAAUUAAAGAUGCCUAGAUGCCUAGAUGAUGAUAUAGACGGCAACCAAGAGAGAAGAAGAAAAAAGAUGAUGAUGCCUGAGAAGUUUCAGUGGUACAGCUUGAAGAUGGUUCCAUUGUACAUAGAAGAUGAAGAUGAGUUAGGUUAAACCUUGUUAGAGUGAAAAAAACAAAAUAAAGCAGCAUGCAGGGAUAGCAGUUCCAAGCAAGAUGGUAACAUAGAUCUUCAUUACUAACUCCGAGGCUCUGCCAUGAAAAAAAUAAAAAAGCAAGGACAGCAGCUCCAGUGAAGAUUAUUACAUUGAUAAUCUUGCAAGUCUGAUGUGUGGCCAUUAAAGAAAUAAUGUGAUUUCAGUGUUUUCAUGGAUGGGAGUAAGACUUGGUGGUAUAAUAUGUCUAAUAUUUAAGUAGGCUAGCAUUAAUUACUGCUGGUCAGUAUGGAUUGUUUAGAAUGGUCAUUGGAGCUGUCUUUUAAGGUUAUUACAGUGACUGUUUUCAUGGAUGGGGAGUAAAACUUGGUGGUCUAAUACUCAUAAAUUAAUGAAGAUUUGGGAUCCUUUUGGCUUGAAAGAUUGUCAGGAACAUGAAGAAACUGAAUCCAUAAACAGACAAAAUAACAACACUGGUUGAUACAAUUCUAGGAACCAGUGAAGAAGUUAAAAGUUUUACAAUAUACUGAAGACUUGCAACAGAAAAUGUUUUACUGAACAGUAUGAGAGAGCCAAGAUGAUUGUUGGAUUUAAAAUGCUUGGAAAAUACAACCAAAUGAAGACAAAAAAUGCACUGCAUCAACAAACAAAACAACUACUGGAACGUUGGGGCAUCAGUACUGAGUUCCGAUUCUAAAAACAAUUGUUCAAAAUCUUCUACAAGUUUAAGAAGACUGUACAUACAUGUAUAUAUAUAUAU
Long non-coding RNA from Mytilus californianus (California mussel), 3339 nucleotides. RefSeq lists it as uncharacterized. NCBI's taxonomy places the organism in Eukaryota, Metazoa, Mollusca, Bivalvia, Mytilida, Mytilidae. The record is from RefSeq and is a predicted model, not a curated record. The transcript is spliced from 20 exons.